Molecule: ribosomal RNA, 446 nt
Filed under: uncultured bacterium
Lineage: Bacteria
Description: bacterial SSU rRNA
Rfam family: Bacterial small subunit ribosomal RNA
Source: RNAcentral
CCAGACUCCUACGGGAGGCAGCAGUCGGGAAUAUUGCGCAAUGGAGGAAACUCUGACGCAGUGACGCCGCGUAUAGGAAGAAGGUUUUCGGAUUGUAAACUAUUGUCGUGAGGGAAGAAAUUGACAGUACCUCAGGAGGAAGCUCCGGCUGACUAUGUGCCAGCAGCCGCGGUAAUACAUAGGGAGCAAGCGUUAUCCGGAUUUAUUGGGUUUAAAGGGUGCGCAGGCGGAAUGUCAAGUCAGCGGUAAAAUUUCGGGGCUCAACCCCGUCGUGCCGUUGAAACUGGCGUUCUUGAGUGAGCGAGAAGUAUGCGGAAUGCGUGGUGUAGCGGUGAAAUGCAUAGAUAUCACGCAGAACUCCGAUUGCGAAGGCAGCAUACCGGCGCUCAACUGACGCUCAUGCACGAAAGCGUGGGUAUCAAACAGGAUUAGAUACCCCUGUAUAC